Molecule: transfer RNA, 66 nt
Filed under: Ateles chamek (black spider monkey)
Lineage: Eukaryota; Metazoa; Chordata; Mammalia; Primates; Atelidae
Description: tRNA-Tyr
Rfam family: tRNA
About the family: Transfer RNA (tRNA) molecules are approximately 80 nucleotides in length. Their secondary structure includes four short double-helical elements and three loops (D, anti-codon, and T loops). Further hydrogen bonds mediate the characteristic L-shaped molecular structure. tRNAs have two regions of fundamental functional importance: the anti-codon, which is responsible for specific mRNA codon recognition, and the 3' end, to which the tRNAs corresponding amino acid is attached (by aminoacyl-tRNA synthetases). tRNAs cope with the degeneracy of the genetic code in two manners: having more than one tRNA (with a specific anti-codon) for a particular amino acid; and 'wobble' base-pairing, i.e. permitting non-standard base-pairing at the 3rd anti-codon position.
Source: RNAcentral
GGUAAAAUGGCUGAGUAAGCAUUAGACUGUAGAUCUAAAGACAGAGGAAAGGCCCUCUUUUUGCCA